Molecule: ribosomal RNA, 108 nt
Filed under: Amphiprion percula (orange clownfish)
Lineage: Eukaryota; Metazoa; Chordata; Actinopteri; Pomacentridae
Source: RNAcentral
GCUUACGGCCAUACCAGCCUGAAUAUGCCUGAUCUCGGAAGCUAAGCAGCGUUGGGUCUGGUUAGUACUUGGAUGGGAUCCACCUGGGAAUACCAGGUGCUGUAAGCU